UAUUUGCGGAAGUUUUCGGAUGGAAGCGGAUGCGACUUAGCGGCGGACGGGUGAGUAACGCGUGGGUAACCUGCCUCAUACAGGGGGAUAACAGUUAGAAAUGACCGCUAAUACCGCAUAAGCGCACAGGACCGCAUGGUCCGGUGUGAAAAACUCCGGUGGUAUGAGAUGGACCCGCGUCUGAUUAGCUGGUUGGCGGGGUAACGGCCCACCAAGGCGACGAUCAGUAGCCGACCUGAGAGGGUGGCCGGCCACAUUGGGACUGAGACACGGCCCAAACUCCUACGGGAGGCAGCAGUGGGGAAUAUUGCACAAUGGGGGAAACCCUGAUGCAGCAACGCCGCGUGAGUGAAGAAGUAUUUCGGUAUGUAAAGCUCUAUCAGCAGGGAAGAAAAAAGACGGUACCUGACUAAGAAGCCCCGGCUAACUACGUGCCAGCAGCCGCGGUAAUACGUAGGGGGCAAGCGUUAUCCGGAUUUACUGGGUGUAAAGGGAGCGUAGACGGCAUAGCAAGUCUGAAGUGAAAGCCCGUGGCUCAACCGCGGAACUGCUUUGGAAACUGUUAAGCUGGAGUACUGGAGAGGCAAGCGGAAUUCCUAGUGUAGCGGUGAAAUGCGUAGAUAUUAGGAGGAACACCAGUGGCGAAGGCGGCUUGCUGGACAGAGACUGACGUUGAGGCUCGAAAGCGUGGGGAGCAAACAGGAUUAGAUACCCUGGUAGUCCACGCGGUAAACGAUGAAUGCUAGGUGUUGGCGGGCAAAGCCCGUCGGUGCCGCCGCAAACGCAUUAAGCAUUCCACCUGGGGAGUACGUUCGCAAGAAUGAAACUCAAAAGAAUUGACGGGAACCCGCACAAGCG
RNAcentral lists this ribosomal RNA (858 nucleotides) under uncultured bacterium. RNAcentral describes it as "bacterial SSU rRNA". It matches the Rfam family "Bacterial small subunit ribosomal RNA", at positions 68 to 931 of the family's 1533-position model. The record is from RNAcentral.